GUCCUUUUGUUUUAUAUUUAAGGUUUAACCUGCCCACUGAAUAAUUUAAAUGGCCGCAGUAUUUUAACUGUGCAAAGGUAGCAUAAUCAUUAGUUUUUUAAUUAAAAGCUUGUAUGAAAGGUUGGACGAGGUAAAAACUGUCUUUAUUUAAUUAAUUAUAAAAUUUAAUUUUUAAGUUAAAAAGCUUAAAUUUUUUUAAAAGACGAGAAGACCCUAUAGAUCUUUAUAUUUAUUAUUUUAUUUUUAAUUAAGAUUUAUUUAAAUUUUAUUAUAUUAAAUAUUUUAUUGGGGUAAUAAGAAGAUUUAUAAAAUUCUUUUAUAUAUUAUUCAUUGAUUAAUGUUUUGAUGAUCCAAUUUUAUUGAUUAUAAGAUUAAGUUACCUUAGGGAUAACAGCGUAAUUUUUUUAGAGAGUUCAUAUCGAUAAGAAAGUUUGCGACCUCGAUGUUGGAUUAAAGAUUAAUUUAGGUGUAGAAGUUUAAAUUUUUGGUCUGUUCGACCAUUAAAUCUUUACAUGAUCUGAGUUCAGACCGGUGUAAGCCAGGUCGGUUUCUAUCUUUAAUAAUAUAAUAUAUUUUAGUACGAAAGGACCAAAUAUAUAAUAUAUAAAUAUUUUUUAAUUUUUGAAUAUUAUUAAUUAUUUUGGCAGAUUAGUGCAAUGAAUUUAGAAUUCAUAUAUGUAAGUAUUUACAAAUAAUACUUGUUUUAUAUAGAUGUAACAUUUUCUUUUAUUUGUAUAUUAUUAUUAGUUAUUUGUGUAUUA
RNAcentral lists this ribosomal RNA (761 nucleotides) under Mecodema rugiceps. RNAcentral describes it as "partial 16S ribosomal RNA". The stretch from base 387 to 545 matches the Rfam family "Bacterial large subunit ribosomal RNA", at positions 2473 to 2632 of the family's 2925-position model. Lineage: Eukaryota; Metazoa; Arthropoda; Insecta; Coleoptera; Carabidae. The record is from RNAcentral.